This 463-nucleotide ribosomal RNA is filed under the name uncultured bacterium. RNAcentral's name for it is "bacterial SSU rRNA". It matches the Rfam family "Bacterial small subunit ribosomal RNA", at positions 354 to 796 of the family's 1533-position model. The record is from RNAcentral.
GUAGGGAAUUUUCCGCAAUGGGCGCAAGCCUGACGGAGCAACGCCGCGUGAGUGAAGACGGCCUUCGGGUUGUAAAGCUCUGUUCUUAGGGAAGAAGAAACCCGGGCCCCGCAAAAGUUUACUUUUGUGGGUGGGAAUGACGGUACCUAAGCAGAAAGCCCCGGCUAACUACGUGCCAGCAGCCGCGGUAAUACGUAGGGGGCAAGCGUUGUCCGGAAUUAUUGGGCGUAAAGCGCGCGCAGGCGGUUUGUUAAGUUGUGGGUAAAAGGCAUUGGCUCAACCAAUGUAAGCCUGCAAAACUGGCAGACUUGAGUGCAGGAGAGGGGAGUGGAAUUCCCGGUGUAGCGGUGGAAUGCGUAGAUAUCGGGAGGAACACCAGUGGCGAAGGCGACUCUCUGGCCUGUAACUGACGCUGAGGCGCGAAAGCGUGGGUAGCGAACAGGAUUAGAAACCCCAGUAGUCC